RNAcentral lists this transfer RNA (56 nucleotides) under Gmelinoides fasciatus. RNAcentral describes it as "tRNA-Cys". The record is from RNAcentral. Lineage: Eukaryota; Metazoa; Arthropoda; Malacostraca; Amphipoda; Micruropodidae.
AGUCAGAAAGUUUAAAACUUUAGAUUGCAAGUCUAACACUGCUUAUGCUCGGGCUA